RNAcentral lists this long non-coding RNA (1116 nucleotides) under Callithrix jacchus (white-tufted-ear marmoset). Its description in RNAcentral is "lncRNA (ENSCJAG00000079497.1)". Lineage: Eukaryota; Metazoa; Chordata; Mammalia; Primates; Cebidae. The record is from RNAcentral.
AUGGAAACACACCACACACGUGUCCACCCACAUACACAUACACGGGCAGGGCCAGGCCUAGCUGGGGAGAACCACACCACACGUGUUCACCCACAUACACAUACACGGGCACGACCAGGCCUAGCUGGGGAGAACCACACCACACGUGUUCACCUACAUACACAUACACGGGCAGGGCCAGGCCUACCUGCGGAGAACCACACCACACGUGUCCAGCCACAUACACAGGCACAACCAGGCCUAGCUGGGGAGAACCACACCACAUGUGUCCACCCACAUACACAUACACGGGCACGACCAGGCCUAGCUGGGGAGAACCACACCACACGUGUUCACCCACAUACACAUACACGGGCACGACCAGGCCUAGAUGGAAACACACCACACACGUGUCCACCCACAUACACAUACACGGGCACAACCAGGCCUAGCUGGGGAGAACCACACCACACGUGUUCACCCACAUACACAUACACGGGCACAACCAGGCCUAGCUGGGGAGAACCACACCACACGUGUUCACCCACAUACACAUACACGGACACGACCAGGCCUAGCUGGGGAGAACCACACCACACGUGUUCACCCACAUACACAUACACGGACACGACCAGGCCUAGCUGGGGAGAACCACACCACACGUGUUCACCCAUAUACACAUACACGGACACGACCAGGCCUAGCUGGGGAGAACCACACCACACGUGUUCACCCACAUACACAUACACGGACACGACCAGGCCUAGCUGGGGAGAACCACACCACACGUGUUCACCCACAUACACAUACACGGACACGACCAGGCCUAGCUGGGGAGAACCACACCACACGUGUCCACCCACAUACACAUACACGGGCACGACCAGGCCUAGAUGGAAACACACCACACGUGUCCACCCACAUACACAUACACGGGCACGACCAGGCCUAGCUGGGGAGAACCACACCACACGUGUCCACCCACAUACACAUACACGGGCACGACCAGGCCUAGAUGGAAACACACCACACAUGUGUCCACCCACAUACACAUACACGGGCACGACCAGGCCUAGCUGGGGAGAACCACACCACACGUGUCCACCCACAUACACAGGCACAACCAGGCCUAGCUGA